Molecule: ribosomal RNA, 138 nt
Filed under: uncultured bacterium
Lineage: Bacteria
Description: partial 16S ribosomal RNA
Rfam family: Bacterial small subunit ribosomal RNA
Source: RNAcentral
GGGAAUAUUGGACAAUGGGCGAAAGCCUGAUCCAGCAAUGCCGCGUGUGUGAAGAAGGUCUUCGGAUUGUAAAGCACUUUCGACGGGGACGGAUGAUGACGGUACCCGCAGAAGAAGCCCCGGCUAACUUCGUGCCAG